UACGGAGGGAGCUAGCGUUGUUCGGAAAUACUGGGCGUAAAGCGCACGUAGGCGGCUUUGCAAGUCCGAUGUGAAAUCCCUCGGCUUAACCAAGGAAGUGCAUCGGAAACUGCAGAGCUUGAGUACUUAAGAGGAUCGCGGAAUUCCCGGUGUAGAGGUGAAAUUCGUAGAUAUCGGGAGGAACACCAGUGGCGAAGGCGGCGAUCUGGGAAGAUACUGACGCUGAGGCACGAAAGCGUGGGGAGCAAACAGG
This 253-nucleotide ribosomal RNA is filed under the name uncultured bacterium. RNAcentral describes it as "partial 16S ribosomal RNA". It matches the Rfam family "Bacterial small subunit ribosomal RNA", at positions 524 to 776 of the family's 1533-position model. The record is from RNAcentral.